AAUAAUUACGGGCCGAAGCCCAAGCAACAACAAAGAUCUAUUUAUUUAGAAGAUGGCCCAAUAAUGCCCUAUAAUUCUCACCUAGCUCGAGCCCAUGUCCGUCCGAUUACAUCCAACGGCCCAAAAUAUAGCUAGGGUUUUGCUCAUAAACGCUAGCACCUCGCUCCCUCACUCCCACAACGCAUCUCCCAUUUCUCAUCCGCCGGUUCUCAUCGGAGGACCUCCAACAAAUAUCGCAAGGUUUUCCAGUCUCGCUUCGCCGCCAUGAGAGCCAAGUGGAAGAAGAAGAGGAUGAGGAGGUUGAAGAGGAAGCGCCGAAAGAUGAGGCAGAGAUCCAAGUGAGAGCAGCAGCUGAGUGUAGCUGUUCACAUAGGGGUUCUCGUGUCCUUUUGGAUUUUAUCAGACUUAGCGGUUUGUUUAGAAUUAAUGUGAAACCUUUGGCGUUCUUAUCUGUUUAUCUUUGCUGCAUUUCUUAAUAUUUAAAUGGAAUUUGACUGCUUUUUAUGAUUGCUUUGGUUUGAUUAAAGUGUGGUUUUACU
Malus domestica (apple) is the source of this 539-nucleotide long non-coding RNA. RefSeq lists it as uncharacterized. The record is from RefSeq and is a predicted model, not a curated record. NCBI's taxonomy places the organism in Eukaryota, Viridiplantae, Streptophyta, Magnoliopsida, Rosales, Rosaceae.